This 253-nucleotide ribosomal RNA is filed under the name uncultured bacterium. RNAcentral's name for it is "partial 16S ribosomal RNA". It matches the Rfam family "Bacterial small subunit ribosomal RNA", at positions 524 to 776 of the family's 1533-position model. The record is from RNAcentral.
UACGAAGGGGGCUAGCGUUGUUCGGAAUCACUGGGCGUAAAGGGCGCGUAGGCGGCUUUAUAAGUCGGGGGUGAAAGCCUGUGGCUCAAUCACAGAAUUGCCUUCGAUACUGUAUGGCUUGAGACCGGAAGAGGUAAGUGGAACUGCGAGUGUAGAGGUGAAAUUCGUAGAUAUUCGCAAGAACACCAGUGGCGAAGGCGGCUUACUGGUCCGGUUCUGACGUUGAGGCGCGAAAGCCAGGGGAGCGAACGGG